RNAcentral lists this ribosomal RNA (696 nucleotides) under uncultured bacterium. RNAcentral describes it as "bacterial SSU rRNA". It matches the Rfam family "Bacterial small subunit ribosomal RNA", at positions 65 to 773 of the family's 1533-position model. The record is from RNAcentral.
GACUUAACCAUUAGUUUACUAUUGGAGCGGUUAGUGGCGGACUGGUGAGUAACACGUAAGCAACCUGCCUAUCAGAGGGGAACAACAGUUAGAAAUGACUGCUAAUACCGCAUAUGCCUUGAGUAUCGCAUGGUACAAGAGGGAAAGAAGCAAUUCGCUGAUAGAUGGGCUUGCGUCUGAUUAGAUAGUUGGUGUGGUAACGGCAUACCAAGUCUACGAUCAGUAGCCGGACUGAGAGGUUGAACGGCCACAUUGGGACUGAGAUACGGCCCAGACUCCUACGGGAGGCAGCAGUCGGGAAUAUUGCGCAAUGGAGGAAACUCUGACGCAGUGACGCCGCGUGCAGGAAGAAGGUUUUCGGAUUGUAAACUGCUUUAGACAGGGAAGAAACAAGACAGUACCUGUAGAAUAAGCUCCGGCUAACUACGUGCCAGCAGCCGCGGUAAUACGUAGGGAGCAAGCGUUAUCCGGAUUUAUUGGGUGUAAAGGGUGCGUAGACGGGAAAGCAAGUUAGUUGUGAAAUCCCUCGGCUUAACUGAGGAACUGCAACUAAAACUACUUUUCUUGAGUGCUGGAGAGGAAAGUGGAAUUCCUAGUGUAGCGGUGAAAUGCGUAGAUAUUAGGAGGAACACCAGUGGCGAAAGCGACUUUCUGGACAGUAACUGACGUUGAGGCACGAAAGCGUGGGGAGCAAAC